Molecule: long non-coding RNA, 1014 nt
Organism: Oreochromis aureus
Lineage: Eukaryota; Metazoa; Chordata; Actinopteri; Cichliformes; Cichlidae
Source: Ensembl
CUGCUUUGUGCCCUGUCUCCAGUCUCCUCCUGGUGCCCCCCCCCACUCCCAGUGGUCUGUUCUAUAAUGCCUCAAUUCGGUAUUGGUAAACACCUGUUUGAACAUGGCCUCGAAACGGCAACAGGAGUCGGGAGCGGAGAAAAGAAAGAAGAAGAGGAAGCGUGAUGAAACUCAGGCGUCGCUUGCCGGGUCAAUGCUUAAAUAUGUUCAAGGAGGAUCUCAAGGACAGGAUGAACCAUCCAGUAGUAGUGCCAUCCCUGGACAUCAACCACCAGCCAUUGUAGACCCUGCAACAAUCCCUAGCCAAGAAGAACAAGAACCAUCAACCACCAGUUCAGGGCUUUUGUGUAAAUCUGCAGACCUCUUUAUUUGUGUAUAAAGUUGGGUAUAGAAAAAUAAUUCAUAAUUCAUCCAGCAUCAUCUUGAUGUAAAGUCUACAACUAAGCUGGCAUAGGUCAGACAUGUGCUGAAACUAACCAGGAACAGAAGACACCAUCUGUGGUAUAUUUUAGAGAGGAGCCAUUUUACAGCUUCUUUUUCAGAGCUUAAUAAAACUUGUCAGGGCAAAACCUGCUAUAGUUUUUCAUUUAUCACAACACAAUUUCCACGUAUGAUGCAACUUUUCAUGAAGCUGCAGUGUCAAGUUGGAAAAGAACAAAUGCACAGGAUUUUGGACAUGACCUUCACAAUAAAAGCCUUUGGAAAAUAAACGCUAUAAAAAUUAAGACUGUAGUGCGGAUUGUAUAUGAACGUAGCGUUUAGCUGCCUGCAGUAAUAAAAGCGCAUGCGCUUUCAUUACUUUAUCAAUUAAUACAUUUUAUUUGUUUAUUUUUAUAGGUACAAGUGUUCAUUAUGAAUCACACACACAAGCAUUUAUAGCAUAGUUUCCAUUGGAAAUACAUUUACAAAACUAGAUUUGCAGGUAGAUGGGAUCCAAGUGGCAAAAAAGACCAACUUUGCUGCUGUGCCAAAUCAAUUUCCUACCGUUUGUGACAGACUGCACAUGAAGAGAAG